UACGAGGGGGGCAAGCGUUGUUCGGAAUUACUGGGCGUAAAGAGUGUGUAGGCGGUGCUCCAAGUCUGUCGUGAAAUCUCCCGGCUCAACUGGGAGGGUGCGGCGGAAACUAGAGUGCUCGAGUGUGGGAGAGGUAAGCGGAAUUCCUGGUGUAGCGGUGAAAUGCGUAGAUAUCAGGAGGAACACCUGCGGUGUAGACAGCUUACUGGACCACGACUGACGCUGAGACACGAAAGCGUGGGUAGCAAACAGG
RNAcentral lists this ribosomal RNA (253 nucleotides) under uncultured bacterium. RNAcentral's name for it is "partial 16S ribosomal RNA". It matches the Rfam family "Bacterial small subunit ribosomal RNA", at positions 524 to 776 of the family's 1533-position model. The record is from RNAcentral.